RNA transcript from Glycine soja, 1814 nucleotides. It is a transcript of the gene named B-box zinc finger protein 22-like, with no coding region annotated. The transcript has 5 exons. The record is from RefSeq and is a predicted model, not a curated record. NCBI's taxonomy places the organism in Eukaryota, Viridiplantae, Streptophyta, Magnoliopsida, Fabales, Fabaceae.
ACAGUAGCAUUACUGAAUCCAGCACAGGCGGUCUCCUCUGCCACGACACUACCCGUUUGCUGCCACGUGUACAUGAACCUCGUGGCCGCAAAAAAUAUCCUUCAUUUUUUUCUUCUUUCUCUUCUCCGCCACUUCUUAAACCCUGCUCCUCUGCUUCGUGGUGCCCCAAACCUCUUCUUCUCUUUCUUUUCCCUCUCUCAAUUCCAAACAGUAGAAUUAGACACCCUUUUGGAAAAGGAAGUGUUUUUUGAGGGAAAGGAGGGAAUUUUUUGUGUGGGAGGGUGGAACCCGGAAUUCGGUUUGGUUGGGGUAGAGAGGAUGAAGAUUCAGUGUAACGUGUGUGAGGCUGCGGAGGCCAAGGUUCUUUGUUGUGCUGAUGAGGCUGGGCUGUGUUGGGAGUGUGAUGAGAAGGUUCAUGCGGCUAACAAGCUUGCCAGCAAGCACCAGAGAGUGCCUCUUUCUACCUCUUCCUCUCAUAUGCCUAAAUGUGACAUUUGUCAGGAAGCAUUAGGCUAUUUUUUCUGUCUAGAAGAUCGGGCUCUGCUCUGCAGAAAAUGUGAUGUGGCAAUACACACUGCAAAUGCUUAUGUCUCUGGUCAUCAGAGGUUUCUUCUAACUGGUGUAAGAGUAGGCCUUGAAGCUACAGACCCUGGUGCUUCCUCAACUUCUUUGAAGUCAGAUUCUGGGGAGAAAGUUUCAGAUUCUUCUGUCUCUAGAAAGGUUUCCACAGCGCCCCAGCCAUCAAAUUAUAAUGAAGUGUUACCCGCUGAAGUUGGAGGAGUUGGGGAGUUUCCAUCAGCCAAGGUGUCCUUUGGUGGUGGUUCCACAGCUGGAAAUAUCUCACAGUGGACUAUUGAUGAAUUUAUUGGCUUAAACGAGUUCAGUCAGAAUUAUGAUUACAUGGAAGGAUCGUCAAGGAGUUCAGAUUCAUCUUUUGUCAUAGAUUGUGUAUACUAGUGCCCCUUCAGACACACUAACACACGCGCGCGCGUGCAGGGAGUAAAAGGACAGGGAUGGGGCUGAUCCGGUCUUCUGAGGGAAUAUGCCCUGUUAACAUGGUCACAUGACUAAACAACUGGCCAAUGUAGUAUAAGUUUUAUAAAUAUGUUGAAUAUUUGUGGUCAGAAAAGGUGUGAGUAGACUUCAAACAGUGGAAUCUGACAGAUUGGUUGGUUGAAGUGCUUGUGCUUGGUUUCAUUCUUUCCCUUAUUUGCUGACGGUGGUAAGCUUGGGGAUUCUGAUUCUCCUGUUUUAAGAUCUGGUGAAGAGGAAAUGGAGGAGGAGGAUGACUAUUUGGAACGCGUUCCAGAUUCGUCGUGGACAGUCCCGCAGAUCCCUUCCCCACCUACUUCUUCUGGGUUAUGCUGGCCAAAAGACCAUACUAAUCUGUAUGGUUCAUCUGAUAGUGUUCUGUUUGUUCCUGACAUAAGCUUCUCUCACCUGCAACAAUCUCAGAUUAGUAUUUUUUUGAGACGCCGGAGGCAGCUUUAAUUUGUUUACUCUUUGCUAAUAACUUGAGGCAUUGAUUUCUUUUAUUUCUGUUAUGAUUCUAAGUUCUCUCAUGUUGCAGUGAAGUGUCAUUUCAUUAGUUGCAUAUUUCUAUUCUUGGCUGUCUCAGCCUUCUAGGGAGUAAUCUAACUCUCUACAUGUCAUUGGAAAUUUGCAUAGCAAAGCAGCAACAAAUAAUGGGAGUUUAGAAGGCUUUUACUAGUAAGUUGGGUCUUGUAACAUUAUCAACUCCUCUCUAGAUCCUAUGUAGAUGCAUCUAUUGGAUUAUAAUAGAGAUCUGAUUCAUAUUGGUUUGUUUGUGUCAA